AGAGGGUGCGAGCGUUAAUCGGAAUUACUGGGCGUAAAGCGCACGUAGGCGGCUUGGCAUGUCGGGUGUGAAAUCCCCGGGCUCAACCUGGGAACUGCAUCCGAAACUGCCUUGCUAGAGUAUGGGAGAGGGAAGUGGAAUUUCCGGUGUAGCGGUGAAAUGCGUAGAUAUCGGAAGGAACAUCAGUGGCGAAGGCGACUUCCUGGACCAAUACUGACGCUCAGGUGCGAAAGCGUGGGGAGCAAACAGGAUUAGAUACCCUGGUAGUCCACGCCCUAAACGAUGGCCACUGGGUGUUGGGGAAGCGAUUCCUUGGUACCGCAGCUAACGCAUUAAGUAUUCCGCCUGGGGAGUACGGCCGCAAGGUUA
RNAcentral lists this ribosomal RNA (369 nucleotides) under uncultured bacterium. RNAcentral describes it as "bacterial SSU rRNA". It matches the Rfam family "Bacterial small subunit ribosomal RNA", at positions 527 to 896 of the family's 1533-position model. The record is from RNAcentral.